Non-coding RNA from Manihot esculenta (cassava), 74 nucleotides. Lineage: Eukaryota; Viridiplantae; Streptophyta; Magnoliopsida; Malpighiales; Euphorbiaceae. The record is from the annotation of a RefSeq genome assembly.
GUCUGGGUGGUGUAGUUGGUUAUCACGCUAGUCUCACACGCUAGAGAUCCCGGGUUCAAGCCCGGGCUUAGACA